CUUUAAAAUUGUGAACACAGGAUUUUUACUUCUGUGGUGGCGUGGCUUGCUAUUAAAAUGUGGAAAAUACUUUUACACCUUGCGCAAAUUACUGUUGUGGCUGGUUGUCAAGGUUGUCAAGGUCGGGGCGUGUCGGUACAUUGCGGGGACGGCGCCCAUCAGUGGAUGUUUUGCGCUCCGCCGAACAUCACCGUGACAGAGCGAGAGAUUUGACCCCACUGCAAAUUGUAGUACUAAUAGAUGUGAAGAUGCACCUAAAGCUACUUUAAUAAUUAUAUACUUAAAAAAGUGUACAAUGUAAAUUACAUAGAUCUGUCUGGAUCAUUAGAAGGUUUCCCAAACGUUAAUAACCUCAAACACAGUUCUACUACAUUCCGGGAAAUUACAGUUAGAUCUAAGACAUUAUUAAAAGAAGGGAUGUUCUAAAAUGUUAGAAAAUUAUUCAAUUGUAUUGCAGGUAUGUAUAGAACAUACGAGCAUAGACAGCACACAUCUUUCAACAGUCGUCCACCGACCCGACAGUAUGGACACACAUCCUUAAUACAAGUUCCACAGUGGCAGAUAAUGAAGCUAGCUCACUCCAAAACCAUCGCCAUACGUCCAGGAAACGUUCGAUCGAUUCAAAACUUAAAUUUUGGCUCAUGUUCGGUGUGGUUGCUGGAGGGAUAGUCAUUAUCUGCCUUAUAGGACUAAUUACCUACAAUGUUAUCAAUUGUGACUUAAAGGGAUAUGGGAAGAUAAAAGAAUAUGGACGAUCCAAAGGAAAAGGUAAAAAUAAGUACUUUCUGGGCGAAACACCAUCCACUUCAACCCUUUUAUCAGCAGAAGAAGCCUAUGAAAGCGUCUAUGAAAACCAUUAAAAACGUACAGAAAAUAAGAGUUCAGCAACAGUCUUCGUCUACUUCUAAUAUGGAUACUAACAACACAAAUCCAGGGAGUGACAUUCAAAAUAACAAUCAUGAUGUGUGCAACUUUGAUGGAAUAAAUACCAUUAAAAAGAAUGCUGUGAGCUUUAUCGAACAAAACGAUACCGUUACACAAAAUACAGAAACAUCAAAAACGAGACACAAAACGUGUGUGACAAUAAUAUUGGGUGAAGCCAGAUGCCAAAUAGACGAAGAUAGUGACAACACAUAUGACCAUCUUGUGAACACUCCUAGACGUUCUACACGUCUCAGCAGUAAUUUCAGUCACCUCAGUUUUGAAGAUGUAUAGACAAUUUGUGUGGACUUUUGAAUGAUGACAGUGAUCUUAUCUUUUACAAGCUAUGAUUGUAUUAUAUUUUACAUGCUGAUUGAGAACAGUUAAAAUAUUCAAGUUUUCUUUAGAGUUCGAAAUUGUGAGUUCCCAAUGGUAUCAAAUAGUGGAUCGGCCAGUAGGCAAAACAUUGCUUUUAAGACCAAGCCUUUUAAUAUUUGUUAAUACGAAUUUUUUCAAAUAAAGUGUUCGCCUGAC
Mya arenaria is the source of this 1455-nucleotide long non-coding RNA. RefSeq lists it as uncharacterized. Lineage: Eukaryota; Metazoa; Mollusca; Bivalvia; Myida; Myidae. The transcript has 4 exons. The record is from RefSeq and is a predicted model, not a curated record.